This 254-nucleotide ribosomal RNA is filed under the name uncultured bacterium. Its description in RNAcentral is "partial 16S ribosomal RNA". It matches the Rfam family "Bacterial small subunit ribosomal RNA", at positions 524 to 777 of the family's 1533-position model. The record is from RNAcentral.
UACAUGUGGGGCAAGCGUUGUUCGGAAUUACUGGGCAUAAAGGGUGCGUAGGUGGCUUGUUAAGUCAGGGGUGAAAGUUUUCGGCCCAACCGGAAAAUGGCCUUUGAUACUGGCGAGCUCGAGUGCGUGAGGGGUAACCGGAACGAGCAGUGUAGCGGUGAAAUGCGUAGAUAUUGCUCGGAAGGCCAACGGCGAAGGCAGGUUACUGGUGCGCAACUGACACUGAGGCACGAAAGCGUGGGGAGCAAACAGGG